This 767-nucleotide ribosomal RNA is filed under the name uncultured bacterium. Its description in RNAcentral is "bacterial SSU rRNA". It matches the Rfam family "Bacterial small subunit ribosomal RNA", at positions 346 to 1104 of the family's 1533-position model. The record is from RNAcentral.
AGGCAGCAGUGGGGAAUAUUGGACAAUGGGCGAAAGCCUGAUCCAGCCAUGCCGCGUGUGUGAAGAAGGCCUUUUGGUUGUAAAGCACUUUAAGCGGGGAGGAGGGCACCAUGGUUAAUACCCAUGAAUGUCGGACGUUACCCGCAGAAUAAGCACCGGCUAACUCUGUGCCAGCAGCCGCGGUAAUACAGAGGGUGCGAGCGUUAAUCGGAAUUACUGGGCGUAAAGCGCGCGUAGGCGGCUUGUUAAGUCAAAUGUGAAAUCCCCGAGCUUAACUUGGGCAUUGCAUUCGAUACUGGCAAGCUAGAGUAUGGGAGAGGAAGGUAGAAUUCCAGGUGUAGCGGUGAAAUGCGUAGAGAUCUGGAGGAAUACCGAUGGCGAAGGCAGCCUUCUGGCCUAAUACUGACGCUGAGGUGCGAAAGCAUGGGGAGCAAACAGGAUUAGAUACCCUGGUAGUCCAUGCCGUAAACGAUGUCAACUAGCCGUUGGGCCCCUUGAGGGCUUAGUGGCGCAGCUAACGCGAUAAGUUGACCGCCUGGGGAGUACGGUCGCAAGACUAAAACUCAAAUGAAUUGACGGGGGCCCGCACAAGCGGUGGAGCGUGUGGUUUAAUUCGAUGCAACGCGAAGAACCUUACCUAGCCUUGACAUGUCUGGAAUCUUGUAGAGAUACGAGAGUGCCUUCGGGAAUCAGAACACAGGUGCUGCAUGGCUGUCGUCAGCUCGUGUCGUGAGAUGUUGGGUUAAGUCCCGUAACGAGCGCAACCC